GAUGAACGCUGGCGGCGUGCCUAAUACAUGCAAGUCGAGCGCACGGACGAGAUGCUUGUUUCUCUUGUAUUAGCGGCGGACGGGUGAGUAACACGUGGGUAACCUACCUUUAAGCCUGGGAUAACUUCGGGAAACCGGAGCUAAUACCGGAUGAAAUUUUGAACCGCAUGGUUCAAAAUUGAAAGACGGACUUGCUGUCACUAAUAGAUGGCCCCGUUCUGCUUGAGCUAUUGGGUAAGGUAAGGGCUUACAAAGGCAACGAUCCUUAGCAGACCGGAGGGGUGGACCGGCCACAUGGGAACGGGACAAGGGCCAAGACCCCUAGGGGAGGAGCCGGUAGGGAAUUUUGCGCAAUGGGGGAAGGCCGGACGGGGCAACGCGGCGGGAGGGAGAAGGGUCUUCGGAUCUUAAAACUCGUUGAUUAGGGAGGAACAUAGGUGUAAGGAACUGUGCACAUCGUGACGGUACCUAAUCAGAAAGCCACGGCUAACUACGUG
This 497-nucleotide ribosomal RNA is filed under the name uncultured bacterium. Its description in RNAcentral is "partial 16S ribosomal RNA". It matches the Rfam family "Bacterial small subunit ribosomal RNA", at positions 28 to 507 of the family's 1533-position model. The record is from RNAcentral.